Molecule: ribosomal RNA, 736 nt
Filed under: Actinomyces viscosus
Lineage: Bacteria; Bacillati; Actinomycetota; Actinomycetes; Actinomycetales; Actinomycetaceae
Description: bacterial SSU rRNA
Rfam family: Bacterial small subunit ribosomal RNA
Source: RNAcentral
AAGGCGGUGACGGGUAGCCGGCCUGAGAGGGUGGACGGUCACACUGGAACUGAGACACGGCCCAGACUCCUACGGGAGGCAGCAGUGGGAAAUAUGCACAAUGGGCGCAAGCCUGAUGCAGCGACGCCGCGUGAGGGAUGGAGACCUUCGGGUUGUGAACCUCUUUCGCCAGUGAAGCAGGCCUGCUCCUUGUGGGUGGGUUGACGGUAGCUGGAUAAGAAGCGCCGGCUAACUACGUGCCAGCAGCCGCGGUAAUACGUAGGGCGCGAGCGUUGUCCGGAAUUAUUGGGCGUAAAGAGCUCGUAGGCGGCUGGUCGCGUCUGUCGUGAACUCCUCUGGCUUAACUGGGGGCUUGCGUUGGGUACGGGCCGGCCCGAGUGCGGUAGGGGAGACUGGAACUCCUGGUGUAGCGGUGGAAUGCGCAGAUAUCAGGAAGAACACCGGUGGCGAAGGCGGGUCCCUGGGCCGUUACUGACGCUGAGGAGCGAAAGCGUGGGGAGCGAACAGGAUUAGAUACCCUGGUAGUCCACGCCGUAAACGUUGGGCACUAGGUGUGGGGGGCCUUUUCCGGGUCUUCCCCCCCGUAGCUAACGCAUUAAGUGCCCCGCCUGGGGAGUACGGCCGCAAGGCUAAAACUCAAAGGAAUUGACGGGGGCCCGCACAAGCGGCGGAGCAUGCGGAUUAAUUCGAUGCAACACGAAGAACCUUACCAAGGCUUGACAUGUGCCGGAUGGUA